Molecule: long non-coding RNA, 280 nt
Filed under: Vigna radiata
Lineage: Eukaryota; Viridiplantae; Streptophyta; Magnoliopsida; Fabales; Fabaceae
Description: long non-coding RNA (VRAD_LNC008502)
Source: RNAcentral
GCCUAGGGAUAGGGGUAGGACGGUCAAUUGUAAUUGCUUUAGAACACAUUGCAUUAUUGGUUACUAGGGGAGGCUAGGGAUAACAAGCCGGUAAUUAAUAAUAGGCUCUUUUCACCAAGGGAUUGGGUUAAGGGUAAUUAAGAAAGUAUGCAUGGCAAUUAGAUAAAUAAGUGAAUUAAAUAAGAAGAGUAGAUAUAUGAGAGUGGAUAAGAUGAAAUUGUAAACCCCAACAACACCAUUCAUCCAUAGUUUCUCAAAACCAAUUGAAUCAACUGCAUUG